GACGAACGCUGGCGGCGUGCUUAACGCAUGCAAGUCGAACGGAAAGGCCCUGCUUUUGUGGGGUGCUCGAGUGGCGAACGGGUGAGUAACACGUGAGUAACCUGCCCUUGACUUUGGGAUAACUUCAGGAAACUGGGGCUAAUACCGGAUAGGAGCUCCUGCUGCAUGGUGGGGGUUGGAAAGUUUCGGCGGUUGGGGAUGGACUCGCGGCUUAUCAGCUUGUUGGUGGGGUAGUGGCUUACCAAGGCUUUGACGGGUAGCCGGCCUGAGAGGGUGACCGGCCACAUUGGGACUGAGAUACGGCCCAGACUCCUACGGGAGGCAGCAAUGGGGAAUAUUGCACAAUGGGCGGAAGCCUGAUGCAGCAACGCCGCGUGCGGGAUGACGGCCUUCGGGUUGUAAACCGCUUUCGCCUGUGACGAAGCGUGAGUGACGGUAAUGGGUAAAGAAGCACCGGCUAACUACGUG
RNAcentral lists this ribosomal RNA (468 nucleotides) under uncultured bacterium. RNAcentral describes it as "partial 16S ribosomal RNA". It matches the Rfam family "Bacterial small subunit ribosomal RNA", at positions 28 to 507 of the family's 1533-position model. The record is from RNAcentral.